AUCNACCAUUUAGUGGGGAAUAACUGUUGGAAACGACAGCUAAUACCGCAUAAUAUUGCUGGAUAAUUUCCAGUAAUGAAAGGAGCUUUCAAGCUCCGCUGAUUGAUGAGGAUGCGGCGCAUUAGCUAGUUGGUAGGGUAAUGGCCUACCAAGGCAAUGAUGCGUAGCCGAUCUGAGAGGAUGAACGGCCACAUUGGGACUGAGACACGGCCCAAACUUCUACGGAAGGCAGCAGUAGGGAAUUUUUCACAAUGGGCGAAAGCCUGAUGGAGCAAUGCCGCGUGACUGAUGAAGGUCUUCGGAUUGUAAAGGUCUGUUGUAAGGGAAGAAAUGGUAAAACAGGAAAUGGUUUUAUCUAUGACGGUACCUUACCAGAAAGCCACGGCUAACUAUGUGCCAGCAGCCGCGGUAAUACAUAGGUGGCAAGCGUUAUCCGGAUUUAUUGGGCGUAAAGGGUGCGUAGACGGUUUUGCAAGUCUGANGUUAAAUUUAGGAGCUCAACUCCUAAUCGCCUUGNAAACUACAAGACUAGAGUAUA
RNAcentral lists this ribosomal RNA (538 nucleotides) under uncultured Spiroplasma sp. Its description in RNAcentral is "bacterial SSU rRNA". It matches the Rfam family "Bacterial small subunit ribosomal RNA", at positions 124 to 650 of the family's 1533-position model. The record is from RNAcentral. Lineage: Bacteria; Bacillati; Mycoplasmatota; Mollicutes; Entomoplasmatales; Spiroplasmataceae.